This 19-nucleotide small nuclear RNA is filed under the name Arabidopsis thaliana (thale cress). RNAcentral's name for it is "snRNA_16459". The record is from RNAcentral. Lineage: Eukaryota; Viridiplantae; Streptophyta; Magnoliopsida; Brassicales; Brassicaceae.
GCGGGUCAAGCCCUUCUCC